RNAcentral lists this ribosomal RNA (899 nucleotides) under Enterobacter hormaechei. Its description in RNAcentral is "bacterial SSU rRNA". It matches the Rfam family "Bacterial small subunit ribosomal RNA", at positions 555 to 1459 of the family's 1533-position model. Lineage: Bacteria; Pseudomonadati; Pseudomonadota; Gammaproteobacteria; Enterobacterales; Enterobacteriaceae. The record is from RNAcentral.
UGGGUGGAGAGCAAUCAAACGGUAUGAAAAGUCCGCNNAGAACGAGCGCNCGUACAUGGGAGUGAGNGAGAAACUGGGAAGGUAUAGUCCUGUAAGGGUAGGUAAUAUUUCAGGUGUAGCAGUGAAAUGCGUAGAGAUCUGGAGGAAUAACGGUGCCCCGGUCGAGCCCCUGGCCAAAGACUUACGCUCAGGUGCGAAAGCGUGGGGAUCUAGCAGGAUUAGAUACCCUGGUAGUCCACGCCGUAAACGAUGUCGACUUGUAGGUUGUGCCCUUUAGGCGUGGCUUCCGGAGCUAACGCGUUAAGUCGACCGCCUGGGGAGUACGGCCGCAAGGUUAAAACUCAAAUGAAUUGACGGGGGCCCGCACAAGCGGUGGAGCAUGUGGUUUAAUUCGAUGCAACGCGAAGAACCUUACCUACUCUUGACAUCCAGAGAACUUAGCAGAGAUGCUUUGGUGCCUUCGGGAACUCUGAGACAGGUGCUGCAUGGCUGUCGUCAGCUCGUGUUGUGAAAUGUUGGGUUAAGUCCCGCAACGAGCGCAACCCUUAUCCUUUGUUGCCAGCGGUCCGGCCGGGAACUCAAAGGAGACUGCCAGUGAUAAACUGGAGGAAGGUGGGGAUGACGUCAAGUCAUCAUGGCCCUUACGAGUAGGGCUACACACGUGCUACAAUGGCGCAUACAAAGAGAAGCGACCUCGCGAGAGCAAGCGGACCUCAUAAAGUGCGUCGUAGUCCGGAUUGGAGUCUGCAACUCGACUCCAUGAAGUCGGAAUCGCUAGUAAUCGUGGAUCAGAAUGCCACGGUGAAUACGUUCCCGGGCCUUGUACACACCGCCCGUCACACCAUGGGAGUGGGUUGCAAAAGAAGUAGGUAGCUUAACCUUCGGGAGGGCGCUUACCA